GCCCGCAAGGGCGCAUGGUGGAUGCCUUGGCAGACAGUACCGACGAAGGACGUUUGAGGAUGCGAUAAGCCUCGGGGAGCCUCCAGCAUGGCUUCGAUCCGAGGAUCUCCGAAUGGGGCAACCCGCCGGCCGUCAUGGGCCGGCACCGCAGGCUUCUGCGGGGGGUACGCAGGGAAGUGAAACAUCUCAGUACCUGCAGGAAGGGAUACUCCGUGAGUAGUGGCGAGCGAAAGCGGAUCAGACCAAACCGCGUGCGCGUGAUACCCGUCGGGGGUUGCGUGCGCGGUGUUGAGGGAGCGCGUGUCCCGGUUCCGACGGACCGGGCGGGAGUCAUAAAACGGCUUGCCAGGGGAACAGGCUUGAAGGCCUGGCCGCAGAGGGUGCCAGCCCCGUACCUGGACGCUUGCCGUCUUCCGAUCGCGUGUCCCAAGUAGCGCGGGCCUCGUGGAAUCCCGCGUGAAUCCGCACCGACCGUGGUGUAAGUCUAAGCAUACCUGUCUGACCGAUAGCGUACCAGUACCGUGAGGGAAAGGUGAAAAGCACCCCGGGAGGGGAGUGAAAGAGUUCCUGAAACCGUGCGCCUACGAUCCGUCGGAGCCUCCUUGUGGGGUGACGGCGUGCCUAUCGAAAAAUGAGUCUGCGAGUCAGUGAUGCGUGGCGAGGCUAACCCGUCGUGGGGCAGCCGUAGCGAAGGCGAGUCCGAACAGGGCGUUUCUAUAGUCGCGUGUCCUGGACCCGAAGCGGGAUGAUCUAGCCCUGGGCAGGUUGAAGCGCGGGUAAGACCGCGUGGAGGACCGAACCCACCUGGGUUGAAAACCGGGGGGAUGACCUGGGGCUAGGGGUGAAAGGCCAAUCAAAUUCCGUGAUAGCUGGUUCUCUCCGAAAUGCAUUUAGGUGCAGCGUCGGCUUAUUGCAUCGCGGGGGUAGAGCUACCGGAUGCUUGCGGGCCCUUGUGGGGUACCAACAGCAGCCGAACUCCGAAUACCGUUGAUGUGUAUGCCGGCAGUGAGUCGGCGGGGGAUAAGCUCCGUCGUCGAGAGGGAGACAGCCCAGACCGUCGUCCGAGGUCCCCAAGCGUGUGCUAAGUGGGAAAGGAUGUGGGGCCGCAUAGACAGCCAGGAGGUUGGCUCAGAAGCAGCCAUCCUUGAAAGAGUGCGUAACAGCUCACUGGUCUAGUGGUCCCGCGCCGACAAUGUAGCGGGGCUCAAGCACACCACCGAAGACGCGGCGGCGCGUGUAUGCGCGCCGGGUAGGAGAGCGUCCUGCAAGGGGCGAAGCGGCCGGGUGACCGUGCCGUGGACUUUGCGGGAGUGAGAAUGCAGACAUGAGUAGCGAGAGACGGGUGAGGAUCCCGUCCGCCGGAUGACCAAGGGUUCCGGGGCCACGUUCGUCGUCCCCGGGUGAGUCGGGUCCUAAGGCGAGGCCGACAGGCGUAGUCGAAUGGAUGAACGGGUGGAUAUUCCCGUACCGGCAGCGAACCGACAGGACCGAGGCGGUGAGUACUAACCUCCGUCGCGGGCCGUUCCCCUCCUUCGGGUGGGGUCCGGCGCGUGGCGUUGGGAGCGUAGCCGUGGUAGGUGAGCGCAGGGGUGACACGGAAUGGGAGCCGGCCGCGGAGGUGGUUUUCCGUGGUCAAGCACGCAGCCGGUCGCACAGGCAAAUCCGUGCGGCGCGUACGGCGAGGUGCGAUGAUGGGAGCCGUUUCGGCUCGAUAUCCGGUGGUCCAGGCCGUCGAGAAAAGCCCCGGCGUCAGGCGCGUUGCCGCCCGUACCCCAAACCGACACUGGUGGUCAGGUAGAGAAUACCAAGGCGAUCGAGCGAAUCCUGGUCAAGGAACUCGGCAAACCGCUCCCGUGCCUUCGGCAUAAGGGAGACCCCCGCGGGUGAACGGACAUGCUCCGGGAGCGUGUGGGGGUGGCACAGACCAGGGGGUAGCGACUGUUUACCAAAAACACAGGUGCAUGCGAAGGCGUAAGCCGCUGUAUAUGCACUGACGCCUGCCCGGUGCCGGAAGGUUA
This 2018-nucleotide ribosomal RNA is filed under the name Bifidobacterium dentium. Its description in RNAcentral is "bacterial LSU rRNA". It matches the Rfam family "Bacterial large subunit ribosomal RNA", at positions 1 to 1879 of the family's 2925-position model. The record is from RNAcentral. Lineage: Bacteria; Bacillati; Actinomycetota; Actinomycetes; Bifidobacteriales; Bifidobacteriaceae.